This 1098-nucleotide ribosomal RNA is filed under the name fungal endophyte. RNAcentral's name for it is "eukaryotic LSU rRNA". The stretch from base 498 to 1098 matches the Rfam family "Eukaryotic large subunit ribosomal RNA", at positions 1 to 605 of the family's 3401-position model. The record is from RNAcentral. Lineage: Eukaryota; Fungi.
AAGUAGGGGGCGGUCCCUUCACUGGCCCCGGCCGGUGUCGCGUGGCCCCCCCGCCUGGAGAAAUCCAGUUACCCCUGUAUCCUGAGUACCCUCUCGUUUCCUCGGCAGGCCCGCCUGCCAGCGAGGACACCAACCAAAACCUUUGCAACAAGCAGUAUUCGUCAGUAUAAACAAAAAUUUAUCACAACUUUCAACAAUGGAUCUCUUGGCUCUGGCAUCGAUGAAGAACGCAGCGAAAUGCGAUAAGUAGUGUGAAUUGCAGAAUUCCGUGAAUCAUCGAAUCUUUGAACGCACAUUGCGCCCUGGGGUAUUCUCCAGGGCAUGCCUGUUCGAGCGUCAUUUACACCCUCAAGCUCUGCUUGGUGUUGGGCGUCUGUCCCCGCGAAAGCGCGGACUCGCCUCAAAGCGAUUGGCGGCCGGUACCGUAGCCCGGAGUGCAGCAGAAUUGCACCCGAGCCCUCGCGUGCCUCCCCCCAGAAGCGAACCUUUCUUUAGUUUGACCUCGAAUCAGGUAGGGAUACCCGCUGAACUUAAGCAUAUCAAUAAGCGGAGGAAAAGAAACCAACAGGGAUUGCCUCAGUAACGGCGAGUGAAGCGGCAACAGCUCAAAUUUGAAAUCUGGCUCCUUUGGGGUCCGAGUUGUAAUUUGCAGAGGGUGCUUUGGUGUUGGCUGUGGUCCAAGUUCCCUGGAACAGGACGUCACAGAGGGUGAGAACCCCGUACGUGGCCGCCAGCCUUCGCCGUGUAAAGCCCCUUCGAAGAGUCGAGUUGUUUGGGAAUGCAGCUCUAAAUGGGAGGUAAAUUCCUUCUAAAGCUAAAUAUUGGCCAGAGACCGAUAGCGCACAAGUAGAGUGAUCGAAAGAUGAAAAGCACUUUGGAAAGAGAGUGAAAUAGCACGUGAAAUUGUUGAAAGGGAAGCGCUUGGAGCCAGACGUGCCCGUAGUUGCUCAGCCGGGGUUCUCCCCGGUGCACUCUUCUGCGGGCAGGCCAGCAUCAGUUCCGGCGGUCGGAUAAAAGCCUGCUAAACGUACCUCCCCCCGGGGAGGACUUAUAGGGUAGGUGGCAUACGACCAGCUGGGACUGAGGACCGCGCAUCUG